UACGAAGGGUGCUAGCGUUGUUCGGAAUCACUGGGCGUAAAGCGCGCGUAGGCGGCUUGACAAGUCAGAGGUGAAAGCCUGGAGCUCAACUCCAGAACUGCCUUUGAAACUGUCUCGCUGGAGUGUCGGAGGGGAUAGCGGAAUUGCUAAUGUAGAGGUGAAAUUCGUAGAUAUUAGCAGGAACACCGGUGGCGAAGGCGGCUAUCUGGACGACAACUGACGCUGAGGCGCGAAAGCGUGGGGAUCAAACAGG
Molecule: ribosomal RNA, 253 nt
Filed under: uncultured bacterium
Lineage: Bacteria
Description: partial 16S ribosomal RNA
Rfam family: Bacterial small subunit ribosomal RNA
Source: RNAcentral